AUCAGCUGCUGAAGACUGAAUAUUACAGGAAUAUCAGAAUAGUUUUCAACAUUUUGUUGACAGCCUAUAUAUAUGUUGACAGACCCAAAUUCAUACAAGUGAUGGUCAAUCUCCACAGGCUUCUCAGCGCUAUCAUGAAAGGAAGCACAUCAAUUUUCAACAUAGUUUUUGUUAAUCAUCCUUGCAACUUGAGAUACAGUAUUUGCUACUUGGGAUGUAAAGGAGAAGAAAGAAACUUCAAAUUUGUCCAGAGCAAUGAAAGCCUACUACUUUCAAGGGUAGCAUUUUCCGAGUUUCCUUCUCCUUUCCUCUACUACUAGAGAAUGGAUAUCUAGAAUUGCUUCCAUUUUCUAUUUUGUAUAAAUAUGCUGAAAUGAUUCCAUAGACUUUGGAGACUUUUUACAUUAGAAGUCCAUGAGAUACCUUAGCAGAACUUAUCAUUCAUUUAUUUUUUAAUUUCCUGCCUUUUAUUUCGGGUAAGCCAAUGAUAAAUCAUCUUGUACGGAGAAGUUAUCGUAAAGGGAAGAAAUUUAAUCAUUUGUGACAUGCGAUUUGUGGAAUUUAGAUAAAUAGUUCAGUGCUUGGCUUUGUUUCGCAUGAAAGGUCAUGUUGAGUUCUCAACAGUUUUGCUUUCUUCAGUGAUAUGAUGUCAUCAAUCAAUCAUAGAUCAUGGUUUGAUCUCAGCCAUGAAUCAUCAUUCAAGAGGGAAGCUACCUUCACCCUCCCUGUUUAGCCACGCAAUCUUAUGUUUUUACAAUAAUAUCUUGGUAAUACACAUUCUAAUGUCUAGAUUCAAUAUUUCAUCUAUCUAGAAAUUUAAUAUUGAAGUUAUGCAGGUUCAUGAGUGUGAUGGUAAUGAAUCCUUGAAAACCUACAUUUGAAAAAAA
Populus euphratica (Euphrates poplar) is the source of this 887-nucleotide long non-coding RNA. RefSeq lists it as uncharacterized. The transcript is spliced from 3 exons. Lineage: Eukaryota; Viridiplantae; Streptophyta; Magnoliopsida; Malpighiales; Salicaceae. The record is from RefSeq and is a predicted model, not a curated record.